This 252-nucleotide ribosomal RNA is filed under the name uncultured prokaryote. RNAcentral's name for it is "partial 16S ribosomal RNA". It matches the Rfam family "Bacterial small subunit ribosomal RNA", at positions 525 to 777 of the family's 1533-position model. The record is from RNAcentral.
ACGUAGGGUGCGAGCGUUAAUCGGAAUUACUGGGCGUAAGCGUGCGCAGGCGGCGCGUCGUGUCCUGUGUGAAAGCCCCGGGCUCAACCUGGGAAUGGCAUGGGAAACUGGCGCGCUGGAGUGCGGCAGAGGGGGGUGGAAUUCCCGGUGUAGCAGUGAAAUGCGUAGAGAUCGGGAGGAACAUCUGUGGCGAAGGCGACUGCCUGGACCAGCACUGACACUGAGGCACGAAAGCGUGGGGAGCAAACAGGA